UUCCCAAGUCUUCCUCCUUGUGUCCUACUUUUCUCUUCUCUAAGCAAAACCCAAAACACAAACCAGCACAUAACUCACCACCACCCCUUUUGUCCACAUUAACUCACUCUCUUUCUCUUCUUCACACAACUCACAACCAACACUCUCAACUUCUGAUCUUUUUCACAUUUUCUCGAGCACCAUGGAUCCUCACAUCUAUGGUGUCUCCAAAUUAUGCUUCAUUUCUUCUCUGUUUCUCUUCUCUUUAAUUACUGUUUCUGCAUUGCCUCAUACCCCGUCUUCUAAAUUCUCUUCUUCUUCGUCUUCUAAUAAUACAGGAAUCAACUCUAACUCCGUUCUGGUUGCGCUUCUCGACUCGCAUUAUACUGAGUUGGCUGAACUCGUUGAGAAGGCUCUUCUUCUUCAAACUCUUGAAGAAGCUGUUGGCAAACACAAUAUUACCAUUUUUGCUCCUAGAAAUGAAGCCCUGGAACGCCAGCUUGACCCCGAAUUCAAGCGCUUCUUGCUUGAACCCGGGAAUCUCAAGUCUCUUCAAACUCUUCUAAUGUUCCACAUUAUUCCUAAACGGGUCGGAUCUAGUCAAUGGCCGAGUGAAAAAUCUAAGCCACUCAAGCAUUCUACUCUCUGCAAUGAUCAUCUUCGCUUAAUUAGCAAAAGCUCCGGCAAAAAGGCUGUUGACUCUGCUGAAAUUAUCCGACCCGAUGAUGUCAUCCGACCCGACGGCGUUAUCCAUGGAAUCGAGAGGCUUCUAAUCCCGCAAUCAGUACAAGAAGACUUUAACCGGAGGAGAAAUCUCAGAUCUAUAUCUGCAGUUCUACCUGAAGGCGCACCGGAGGUGGAUCCAAGAACUCACCGUUUAAAGAAACCGGCAGCACCGGUACCAGCUGGAGCACCACCGGUUUUACCUAUUUAUGAUGCGUUGGCACCUGGUCCUUCCUUGGCUCCGGCACCAGCUCCGGGGCCUGGUGGACCUCACCAUAAAUUUGACGGUGAAAGCCAGGUGAAGGACUUCAUCCAAACACUGUUACAUUACGGCGGUUACAAUGAAAUGGCAGAUAUCUUAGUGAACUUAACGUCGCUAGCCACUGAAAUGGGACGGUUAGUUUCAGAAGGAUAUGUUCUAACAGUGUUAGCACCGAAUGACGAAGCCAUGGCUAAGCUAACGACGGACCAAUUGAGCGAACCCGGCGCACCGGAGCAAAUCAUUUAUUACCAUAUCAUACCGGAAUACCAAACGGAAGAGAGUAUGUACAAUGCAGUGAGGAGAUUUGGAAAAAUAAAGUACGACACGCUGCGAUUGCCGCAUAAAGUGGUUGCGCAGGAGGCGGAUGGGUCGGUUAAAUUCGGAUCCGGUGAUGCGUCUGCCUAUUUGUUCGAUCCAGACAUUUAUACAGAUGGAAGGAUAUCAGUCCAGGGAGUUGACGGCGUUUUGUUCCCGGAAGAGGAGAAAGAGACAGUCACAAAGCCAACGGCCGCCGUCAAGGUCGUUUCUGCCAAGCCAAGGAGAGGGAAAUUAAUGGAAGUAGCUUGUAGAAUUGCUGGAGCUUUUGGACAGGAUUCACAUUUCAGUACAUGUCAAUGAACCUGCACAGCUAAAAAUUUUAAUAAUAGUAAAAAUGGAACCAUGAAAAAAAUAGAGAAAAUGGAAGAAUAUGUGUAAUAAAAUCACAAACAGAAGGGAUCAAUUGGCGUUUUAUGAUUUUAUCAGAAUCCCUGCAGUAAAAGAGAGAGUUUGUUGUUAUUUUGUUAUAAUUACUGUAAUUAAAUAUCAAUUUUUUAAUUAAUUUUUUUUCUUUCUUUC
Jatropha curcas is the source of this 1801-nucleotide RNA transcript. It is a transcript of the gene named FASCICLIN-like arabinogalactan protein 17 precursor, with no coding region annotated. The record is from RefSeq and is a predicted model, not a curated record. NCBI's taxonomy places the organism in Eukaryota, Viridiplantae, Streptophyta, Magnoliopsida, Malpighiales, Euphorbiaceae.